GAUGAAGAACGUAGCGAAAUGCGAUAAGUAAUGUGAAUUGCAGAAUUCAGUGAAUCAUCGAAUCUUUGAACGCACAUUGCGCCCGCCAGUAUUCUGGCGGGCAUGCCUGUUCGAGCGUCAUUACAACCCUCAGGCCCCCGGGCCUGGCGUUGGGGAUCGGCGGAGCCCCCCGUGGGCACACGCCGUCCCCCAAAUGCAGUGGCGGUCCCGCCGCAGCUUCCAUCGCGUAGUAGCUAACACCUCGCGACUGGAGAGCGGCGCGGCCACGCCGUAAAACACACAACUCUUCUGAAGUUGACCUCGAAUCAGGUAGGAAUACCCGCUGAACUUAAGCAUAUCAAUAAGCGGAGGA
Molecule: unclassified non-coding RNA, 352 nt
Filed under: soil metagenome
Description: partial contains 5.8S ribosomal RNA, internal transcribed spacer 2, and large subunit ribosomal RNA
Rfam family: 5.8S ribosomal RNA (bases 1-120)
Source: RNAcentral